CUCUCUCCCGUCUCGACCAGCUUCGAGUCCUCAGUCUUCAGAACAACUCUCUCUCCGGUCCCUUUCCCGAUCUCUCCCCUCUCCUUAACUUGAAAUCCCUCUUUUUGGGCCACAAUUCCUUCUCAGGAUCUUUUCCUCCUUCUAUUUUGUUGCUUCAUAGGCUCCAUGUUCUUGAUCUUUCUUAUAAUAAUCUCACCGGUCACAUUCCGGUUCAGUUGUCUGCUCUCGACCGGCUCAGCUCGCUUCGUCUAGAGUGGAACCGAUUCUAUGGUUCGCUACCGCCAUUGAACCAGUCUUUUCUUAUUUUUUUCAAUGUUUCCGUGAAUAAUCUCACGGGGCCAAUUCCUGUUACGCCUACUCUUUCCAAGUUUCAUACGUCGUCGUUUUCCCUUAACCCGGAUCUCUGCGGUGAGAUCAUCAACAAGGAGUGUACCAGGGUGCGCUCUCCCUUUUUUGAUUGGCCAUCAUCGUCCAAUGCCACCUCGCCAAUGGCACCGCUAGACCAAAGUGCGCAGGCGGAAGGCGGAGCUGGUGUAGUAGUUUUGUCUCCGUCGUCACCGCAGAAGCACAAGAGAACUACUGCUUUUCUGAGUUUCGCUGUUGGUGUAUCGGUAUUAAUCGUAUCUCUUUUAUGCAUCUUUUUUGCUUUGGUCAACAAACAGAGCAAACAAACAAAUUCGAAGGAGAAACAGCCGGCGGCAGCAGCAUCUGCAACCGAGGCUGCGAAUUCGAUUCAUACAAACUCGACAGCUGAUGAUCAAGCUAUUAAAGAAUAUGGGGAAGUUGUAGUAUAUUCGAAAACGAAGGAAAUUGAAGUACAGCAAGUGAGAAGAGCGGAGAAGAGUGGUGGUUUGGUGUUUUGUGGAGGGCAGACACAGAUGUACACAUUGGAGCAGCUAAUGAGAGCAUCAGCGGAGUUGCUGGGGAGAGGAACGAUAGGGACUACGUAUAAGGCUGUGCUCGAUAAUCAGCUGAUAGUGACGGUGAAGAGGCUUGAUGCGAGUAAGAGUGCCAUUACGAGUAGCGAUGCCUUCGAAGGGCUUAUGGAAGCUGUGGGUGGGCUUCGCCACCCGAACUUGGUGCCGAUCAUGGCAUACUUCCAGGCCAAGGGAGAGAGGCUUGUUAUAUAUGAUUAUCAACCCAAUGGCAGCCUUUUCAAUCUCAUUCACGGUUCAAGAUCAACAAGAGCGAAGCCUCUUCACUGGACAUCAUGUUUAAAGAUAGCUGAAGAUGUGGCCCAGGGUCUUGCCUAUAUCCACCAAUCAUCAAAGCUCGUUCAUGGCAACCUGAAAUCUUCCAACAUUCUGCUCGGAGCUGAUUUUGAGGCCUGCAUCACAGACUAUUGCCUUGCUGCCCUUGCAGACACUUCUACUGAAGAUCCUGAUUCCAUAGCAUGUAAAGCACCUGAGACCCGCAAAUCUAACCAUCGAGCCACUGCCAAAUCUGAUGUGUAUGCAUUUGGUGUCCUAUUAUUCGAGCUUUUGACUGGUAAACAUCCAUCACACCAUCCAUUCCUUGCACCCACUGAUAUGUUGGACUGGGUCAGAGCAGUGAGGGAAGAUAAUUGUGUGGAAGAUAACCAGCUAGGAAUGCUUACAGAAGUCGCCAGUGUUUGUAGCUUGAUAUCUCCAGAACAAAGACCAGCAAUGUGGCAAGUGUUGAAGAUGAUACAUGAAAUAAAGGAAAGUGUCAUGGUAGAGGAGAAUGCACCUCCUGGAUAUUCGUAGUUCUUUUCUUUCUACAUGUACAGGCAUGGAUGAAUAGAAGAAACCACAAACUCAUGCAAUCCAAACCAUAGCUUUGGCAGAUUGGCAUUUGUCUAGAGAAGAAUUACAACAGAGCCACUCCGGCUGUGAUAAAAAAAUUUAUAUGAUUUAAUGGAGCUUGAGGAAGCUAUAGGAACGCCAUUGGAUGUGAUGCUUAUGUGGCAGAUAAACCAUGAUUUUGUAAAGAUUCUAUAGUUCUUUUCUGUGGAGUGUUAUCAUUUUGAAGCUUGCUUCUUCCUUGGUUACACCACGUUUGAUACUGCUUGCCAAGUGGACUUUUGAUGGUUAAGGAAUUAAAGCAGAAUUGGCAAGCACUUUCCAUUAGAAACAAUAAGUUCGUCCUUUGCUCCAGAAUAGAAACAAAAAUGGAGCUAGACUUUUUUACUGUUAGCAUCAUGGUUUUAAACCACGGUCGCGGGUAAUGAACUGCGCAAAUUUUUUUAAAAAUUUUGUAAAGUUCAUAAAGUGAGUAAAUAUUAAUAGAAACAAAUAAAAUUAAGAUAUACAACAAUAUAAUAAGCAUAAAUAUAUUAAUUAAAGACAUUAAAAUAAUCAUUCUUAUUUAUCAUUAGCAUUAAUAAAUUGAUAGCUAAAAUAAUUAUGUAAAAUGUUAAUAACUAACUUUAUUAUCACCAAAAGGAAUGUCUAGGAGGAUCUUGACCUAACGGUUGGUGAGGUCUUCGAGAAGCAUCAUGGCUACUACAUACUGUGCACCAGCUCUCCUUCUAAAAGCAUCUUCAUCAAAUUGUCUCAUACUUUCUCUCCUCGCCAAUUCUAACUCAAAAUCUUCAGCAUCAUAAUCACCAUCGUCAUUUGAUUCAACUCGGUUUAGUCUAAUAAGUUCUAAUUCUCUUGUUCUUUUUACUUUAUCUUUUUUGGCAACUUCAUACUCCUUCAAGAUGGUAGCCAUAUCUUUCUUCACUUGAGUAGAAACUUUUCUUAGCCAAAUGCUGUUUCAAAUGUGUUAUUUCUCCAGUAAUUUUUUUUUUCACAAAAAUUACAAGUCAUUUCCCCUUUUUUUUCUGUUGGAGGUGGCAAACUUCCAUCAAAUGUCCUCGCUUAGCUCACUAGAAGAACCUCCUCUCAGCAUUUUCAAACUCUACGGAACGGAUGACUAGCUGGCUUUUAUAAGUAUGCUCUAGAGAAUUAAAGGAUUCAAGCCUUGGGUUGUGAUAUAAUGCAGAAAAUUUAAGGGAAAAUUGAUAUUUUGAGAGCAAGGAGAUGAGCUUGGGACGUUUAGAGACUUAGAGAGAAACUAUGAAAGACUAAAGAAGAUAGGACUUGAGGGGAGAGGCCAAAAUUG
This 3069-nucleotide unclassified non-coding RNA is filed under the name Hevea brasiliensis (rubber tree). The record is from RNAcentral. Lineage: Eukaryota; Viridiplantae; Streptophyta; Magnoliopsida; Malpighiales; Euphorbiaceae.